RNAcentral lists this ribosomal RNA (466 nucleotides) under uncultured bacterium. RNAcentral's name for it is "partial 16S ribosomal RNA". It matches the Rfam family "Bacterial small subunit ribosomal RNA", at positions 338 to 795 of the family's 1533-position model. The record is from RNAcentral.
CCUACGGGGAGGCAGCAGUGGGGAAUAUUGCGCAUUGGGCGAAAGCCUGACGCAGCGACGCCGCGUGGGGGAUGAAGGUCUUCGGAUCGUAAACCUCUGUCAGCAGGGAAGAAAGGUCACUGUGCUAAUCAGCAGUGAAUUGACUGUAUCUGCAACGGAAGCACCGGCUAAAUCCGUGCCAGCAGCCGCGGGAAUACGUCGGGAGCAAGCGUUGUCCGGUAUUACUGGGCGUAAGGGGCGCGUAGGUGGGCGCGUAAGGCAGGUGUGAAAACUCCGGGCCCAACCUGGAGACUGCACUUGAAACUGGGGGUCUGGAGGGCAGGAGAGGAAAGUGGAAUGCCUAGUGUAGCGGUGAAAUGCGUAGAUAUUAGGAGGAACACCAGUGGCGAAGGCGACUUUCUGGACUGUACCUGACGCUGAGGCGCGAAAGCGUGGGUAGCGAACGGGAUUAGAUACCCGAGUAGUC